ACGGAAGGCAGCAGUGGGGAAUAUUGCACAAUGGGCGAAAGCCUGAUGCAGCGACGCCGCGUGAGUGAAGAAGUAUCUCGGUAUGUAAAGCUCUAUCAGCAGGGAAGAAAAUGACGGUACCUGACUAAGAAGCCCUGGCUAACUACGUGCCAGCAGCCGCGGUAAUACGUAGGGGGCAAGCGUUAUCCGGAUUUACUGGGUGUAAAGGGAGCGUAGACGGUUUGGCAAGUCUGAAGUGAAAUGCGGGGGCUCAACUCCUGAACUGCUUUGGAAACUGUCGAACUAGAGUGCAGGAGAGGUAAGUGGAAUUCCUAGUGUAGCGGUGAAAUGCGUAGAUAUUAGGAGGAACACCAGUGGCGAAGGCGGCUUACUGGACUGUAACUGACGUUGAGGCUCGAAAGCGUGGGGAGCAAACAGGAUUAGAUACCCUGGUA
RNAcentral lists this ribosomal RNA (434 nucleotides) under uncultured Lachnospiraceae bacterium. RNAcentral describes it as "partial 16S ribosomal RNA". It matches the Rfam family "Bacterial small subunit ribosomal RNA", at positions 341 to 792 of the family's 1533-position model. Lineage: Bacteria; Bacillati; Bacillota; Clostridia; Lachnospirales; Lachnospiraceae. The record is from RNAcentral.